Molecule: ribosomal RNA, 487 nt
Filed under: uncultured bacterium
Lineage: Bacteria
Description: partial 16S ribosomal RNA
Rfam family: Bacterial small subunit ribosomal RNA
Source: RNAcentral
GAUGAACGCUAGCGAUAGGCUUAACACAUGCAAGUCGAGGGGCAGCACAAGGUAGCUUGCUAUCUGGGUGGCGACCGGCGCACGGGUGCGUAACGCGUAUGCAACUUGCCCUAUACAGGAGGAUAACCCGUCGAAAGACGGACUAAUACUGCGUAUGCUCACAACUUGGCAUCAAGUGGUGAGGAAAGAAAUUCGGUAUAGGAUAGGCAUGCGUCCCAUUAGCUUGUUGGUGAGGUAACGGCUCACCAAGGCAACGAUGGGUAGGGGAACUGAGAGGUUUAUCCCCCACACUGGUACUGAGACACGGACCAGACUCCUACGGGAGGCAGCAGUGAGGAAGAUUGGUCAAUGGGCGCGAGCCUGAACCAGCCAAGUCGCGUGAAGGAUGACUGUCUUAUGGAUUGUAAACUUCUUUUAGACGGGAAUAACAAGAGUCACGUGUGACUCCCUGCAUGUACCGUAUGAAUAAGCAUCGGCUAACUCCGUG